GGUUCAGAGCUAGCCAGCGACAGCUUCCUUGAGUUCAUGGGUACUCCAAGAUACCGAAAAGGUAAACUCCCACAUGCCAUUCCUGUAGAAGCUUGGAUCGUAUUGAUUUCAUCUUCCGACAAACCUGAUGCAAAGAAGCUCGUUUUUUGCAUACUUACAGCCAGGCCAGACCUAUCUUCAAACUCACGCAGCACCUGGAGAACACAUUGAACUGAUUCAAUGUUUCCUUCAGUGAAGAUUAGUAGAUCAUCAGCAAACGACAAGUGUGUAAGCUUUAUCUUCUUGCACUGGGAGUGGUAGCGUAGACCAGAGUGGGAAGCAGCAUUAUUCAGCAUAUGUGAGAGGCAAUUCAUCGCUAUAACAAAGAGGUAAGGGGAUAAGGGGUCUCCCUGUCUUAGCCCUCUUGUACCUUUGAAAUAACCAUUAACAGUACCGUUGUAGCCCACCAUAAAACUUGUUUUACAUAUGCAGGAGCUUAGCCAGUGAAUGAAAGUAUCAGGAAGGCCUAAUCCGUGGAGGCAUGAGAAAAGGAAGUCCCAUGAAAGAGUGUCAAAUGCCUUCGCGAUAUCGACUUUGAUGGAAAUUUGGGAACUAGAGUGAGGAUAGUGGCAUUCGUAGAGGAAGGCAUGAACCCUGUCUGAAAGAAAUUGAUGAUGGCGUUGGAUACUUCGUCACCAAGAGAGUCCCAUGAUGCUUUAAAGAAUCCUGAGGUUAGUCCAUCAGGCCCAGGUGCCUUAUUCGGGUUGAGCCUGAACAUCAUCGAUUUUAUCUCAUCUCGUGAAGGAAUUAACAUCAUCUGUGUACGCUGCGCAGGAGAGAUGGUGAAGUUGAGUAGGCUACAGAACCAGUCGCGAGAGGAAAUGACUUUUGGUGGUACAUACACAGGGCCUAGUACUGAGCAGAAGUGCGCCACAGCCAAAUUACUCAUCUCCAUAGGGUCUGUUAUCCAUACUCCAGAACCGUCUAGGAAGGCUCGAAUGGCGUUAUAGCUUGCUCUCACUUGGCAUAUCCUAUGGAAGAAGGUGGUGUUGAAGUCCCCUGCUCUGAGCCAGUUUAUUCUAGACUUUUGUCUAAAGUAAAGCUCCUCAAUUUCCCUCAAGAAGUCCCACUUUUGAUGUAGGGUCCUCUCCUCUUGAAAAGUUGUUGUGCUCGGAUCUUGUAGCGCAUGUACCUGCAAACAUUGAAGCAAACGCACAACUGAGACAAUGUUUGGCAUACGCUUCCAGCCAGAAUCCAGGCUUCUUUGAUCAACAUGGCGAACCCAGGGUGCUUAGUUAGGUAGUUUUGGAAACGGUAAGGGCAAGUUCCAGCUUGGGGAAGGCUUAGGGCUAGGUUAAGGAGACAGGGGGAGUGGUCUGACAUUUCUGGAGGGAGGAAGGAGGCUACUGCGUGGGGAUAAGACGAGAUAGUGGUGUUGUUUACCAGUAGCCUAUCGAGCUUUUUGGCAAUGGGUGUUUCAGGCUGCUUAUUGGACCAAGUGUGACAGGGACCCAAAUACCGUAAGUCGAAUAAGCCUGCUUGCAGAAGACAGUCUUGCAAUUGGAACAUGAGGCUACUUGUGUGAUCCACCUCAGGGCUCGAGUGCUCAAAAGGAAACAGGACCUGAUUCAGAUCUCCACCAACUACCCAAUUACUGUUGUCAAGAGCAAAGGUUGUCUGGUUUUGAAGAAGAUCACUCCAAAGCUCCACUCUCUCCUCGCUCAGGUUUGAAGCGUAUAUAGCAGAGUAAUAGAGAGGAGCUUGGUUUGGAAUUGUGAUAGAGCAAGUCAAGAGCUGGCUAGACUGGAACAGAAUUCGAACAUCUAGAGGGUCCUUCCAGAUCAGAACAAUGCGGCCAUCUGGGUCAGAUAGGUGAUUAGAGGUGAACUUCCACUGUGGGCACAACUUGGUUAUUAUAGGGGCUAGAGAAGGUUCUUUUAUAUGAGUUUCAAGAAGGGCACCAAAAAGGGGCUUUUGGCUUCUAAGCCAAUCUACAAAAGGUUUAUGCUUGCCCGGGUCAUUUAGGCCACGGACAUUCCAAAAAAAGAGCUUGACACUCAUUGGGGAGGGAUUUGAGGGUCCUCUGAGAGAGCGACACCUCUAGGAUCAGGCGGGAAGGAGUUAUCAAGAAGUGGGUGAGGGUUUUGAAUGGAUAAGUCAGGGUCAGGUGGUUUGAGGAGAG
This is a long non-coding RNA of Raphanus sativus (radish), 2161 nucleotides long. RefSeq lists it as uncharacterized. The transcript has 3 exons. The record is from RefSeq and is a predicted model, not a curated record. NCBI's taxonomy places the organism in Eukaryota, Viridiplantae, Streptophyta, Magnoliopsida, Brassicales, Brassicaceae.